This 440-nucleotide ribosomal RNA is filed under the name uncultured bacterium. RNAcentral describes it as "partial 16S ribosomal RNA". It matches the Rfam family "Bacterial small subunit ribosomal RNA", at positions 339 to 795 of the family's 1533-position model. The record is from RNAcentral.
CUACGGGCGGCUGCAGUAGGGAAUUUUCCACAAUGGGCGAAAGCCUGAUGGAGCAACGCCGCGUGCAGGAUGAAGGCUUUCGGGUCGUAAACUGCUUUUAUGUGCGAAGAAUAUGACGGUAACACAUGAAUAAGGGUCGGCUAACUACGUGCCAGCAGCCGCGGUCAUACGUAGGACCCAAGCGUUAUCCGGAAUUACUGGGCGUAAAGAGUUGCGUAGGUGGCAUUAUAAGUGGAGCGUGAAAGCGUGCGGCUCAACCGCAUUACUGCGUUCCAAACUGUAAAGCUUGAGUAUGAUAGGGGUAAGUGGAAUUUCUAGUGUAGGAGUGAAAUCCGUAGAUAUUAGAAGGAACACCGAUAGCGUAGGCAGGUUACUGGAUCAUUACUGACACUAAGGCACGAAAGCGUGGGGAGCAAACGGGAUUAGAUACCCGAGUAGUC